RNAcentral lists this long non-coding RNA (492 nucleotides) under Vigna radiata. Its description in RNAcentral is "long non-coding RNA (VRAD_LNC006858)". Lineage: Eukaryota; Viridiplantae; Streptophyta; Magnoliopsida; Fabales; Fabaceae. The record is from RNAcentral.
UAUGCAUGUUUGGUACAAGAUGGUUCAAGUUUGGGGUUAUUAGGAAAUUUGAAAAACUUUGAAAAGAAAGGGAAAAAGAGAAAAAUGAAAAAUAAAAAGAAAAAGAGCAUUGAGGAAAGUAAGUGAAGCAAGAGAAGAAAGAAGAAGAAGAGAAAAUGAGUUCAAUGAUUAAGAGUUGAGAUUAAGUGGAGAAGUGGUUUCUCAAUUGAAAAGUAGAAAGAGAGAUUAAUGUUAAAUUAUGAAGUAAAUUGUUCUUUCUCUUAACUCAAUGAACUUGCUUGUGAAUGUGUUCGUUGUGUGUAAAUGAAAGGCAAAGUUGAUUUUUGUGACAUUGUGAUGGGAGAGUGAAAGAGACUUUGACACCUCACUAUACACCUUGAAGCUUGAGUGAAACACUAUCUUUGGUGAGGAAUGUUCCAUGCACUGUAGGAUAGCAUUUUGCUUGGUUUUUGAUCACUCAUAGUGCCUUUGCAUUUGUUGUGUAUUCUUUGU